GACGAACGCUGGCGGCGUGCCUAAUACAUGCAAGUAGAACGCUGAAGGAGGAGCUUACUUCUCUGGAUGAGUUGGGAACGGGUGAGUAACGCGUAGGUAACCUGCCUGGUAGCGGGGGAUAACUAUUGGAAACGAUAGCUAAUACCGCAUAAGAGUAGAUGUUGCAUGACAUUUACUUAAAAGGUGCAAUUGCACCACUACCAGAUGGACCUGCGUUGUAUUAGCUAGUUGGUGGGGUAACGGCUUACCAAGGCGACGAUACAUAGCCGACCUGAGAGGGUGAUCGGCCACACUGGGACUGAGACACGGCCCAGACUCCUACGGGAGGCAGCAGUAGGGAAUCUUCGGCAAUGGACGGAAGUCUGACCGAGCAACGCCGCGUGAGUGAAGAAGGUUUUCGGAUCGUAAAGCUCUGUUGUAAGAGAAGAACGAGUGUGAGUGGAAAGUUCACACUGUGACGGUAUCUUACCAGAAAGGGACGGCUAACUACGUGCCAGCCGCCGCAGUAA
RNAcentral lists this ribosomal RNA (509 nucleotides) under uncultured bacterium. RNAcentral describes it as "partial 16S ribosomal RNA". It matches the Rfam family "Bacterial small subunit ribosomal RNA", at positions 28 to 523 of the family's 1533-position model. The record is from RNAcentral.